This 474-nucleotide ribosomal RNA is filed under the name uncultured bacterium. RNAcentral's name for it is "bacterial SSU rRNA". It matches the Rfam family "Bacterial small subunit ribosomal RNA", at positions 335 to 802 of the family's 1533-position model. The record is from RNAcentral.
ACUCCUACGGGAGGCAGCAGUAGGGAAUCUUCCACAAUGGACGAAAGUCUGAUGGAGCAACGCCGCGUGAGUGAAGAAGGGUUUCGGCUCGUAAAACUCUGUUGUUAAAGAAGAACAUAUCUGAGAGUAACUGUUCAGGUAUUGACGGUAUUUAACCAGAAAGCCACGGCUAACUACGUGCCAGCAGCCGCGGUAAUACGUAGGUGGCAAGCGUUGUCCGGAUUUAUUGGGGCGUAAAGCGAGCGCAGGCGGUUUUUAAGUCUGAUGUGAAAGCCUUCGGCUCAACCGAAGAAGUGCAUCGGAAACUGGGAAACUUGAGUGCAGAAGAGGACAGUGGAACUCCAUGUGUAGCGGUGAAAUGCGUAGAUAUAUGGAAGAACACCAGUGGCGAAGGCGGCUGUCUGGUCUGUAACUGACGCUGAGGCUCGAAAGUAUGGGGUAGCAAACAGGAUUAGAUACCCUGGUAGGAUACCG